AGCGAACGCUGGCGGCAAGCUUAACACAUGCAAGUCGAACGAUGUAGCAAUACAUAGUGGCGGACGGGUGCAUAACACGUGGGAAUCUGCCUUUAGGUACGGAAUAACUCAGGGAAACUUGAGCUAAUACCGUAUAAAAUCUCCGGAUCAAAGAUUUAUCGCCUAAAGAUGAGCCCGCGUCAGAUUAGCUAGUUGGUGGGGUAACGGCCUACCAAGGCGACGAUCUGUAGCUGGUCUUAGAGGAUGAUCAGCCACACUGGGACUGAGACACGGCCCAGACUCCUACGGGAGGCAGCAGUGGGGAAUAUUGGACAAUGGGGGAAACCCUGAUCCAGCUAUGCCGCGUGAGUGAUGAAGGCCUUAGGGUUGUAAAGCUCUUUUAGAUGGGAAGAUAAUGACGGUAACAUCAGAAAAAGCCCCGGCUAACUUCGUGCCAGCCGCCGCAGUAA
RNAcentral lists this ribosomal RNA (449 nucleotides) under uncultured bacterium. RNAcentral's name for it is "partial 16S ribosomal RNA". It matches the Rfam family "Bacterial small subunit ribosomal RNA", at positions 29 to 523 of the family's 1533-position model. The record is from RNAcentral.